UCGGGUUGUAAACUGCUUUUGUACGGAACGAAAAGCCUGGGGCUAAUAUCCCGGGGUCAUGACGGUACCGUAAGAAUAAGCACCGGCUAACUACGUGCCAGCAGCCGCGGUAAUACGUAGGGUGCAAGCGUUAAUCGGAAUUACUGGGCGUAAAGCGUGCGCAGGCGGUUUUGUAAGACAGUGGUGAAAUCCCCGGGCUCAACCUGGGAACUGCCAUUGUGACUGCAAGGCUAGAGUGCGGCAGAGGGGGAUGGAAUUCCGCGUGUAGCAGUGAAAUGCGUAGAUAUGCGGAGGAACACCGAUGGCGAAGGCAAUCCCCUGGGCCUGCACUGACGCUCAUGCACGAAAGCGUGGGGAGCAAACAGGAUUAGAUACCCUGGUAGUCCACGCCCUAAACGAUGUCAAACUGGUUGUU
Molecule: ribosomal RNA, 415 nt
Filed under: uncultured bacterium
Lineage: Bacteria
Description: bacterial SSU rRNA
Rfam family: Bacterial small subunit ribosomal RNA
Source: RNAcentral